Molecule: ribosomal RNA, 583 nt
Filed under: unidentified
Description: Middelhovenomyces sp. GFLS-2022a partial large subunit ribosomal RNA
Rfam family: Eukaryotic large subunit ribosomal RNA
Source: RNAcentral
GAAACCAACAGGGAUUGCCUUAGUAACGGCGAGUGAAGCGGCAAAAGCUCAAAUUUGAAAUCUAGCGUCUUCGACGUUCGAGUUGUAAUUUGAAGAAGGUAACUUUGGGUUUGGCCUUUGUUUAUAUUCCUUGGAACAGGAUGUCAUAGAGGGUGAGAACCCCGUAUUCAACGAAGUGUCCAUUCCUAUGUAAAGUGCUUUCGAAGAGUCGAGUUGUUUGGGAAUGCAGCUCUAAGUGGGUGGUAAAUUCCAUCUAAAGCUAAAUAUUGGCGAGAGACCGAUAGCGAACAAGUACAGUGAUGGAAAGAUGAAAAGAACUUUGAAAAGAGAGUGAAAAAGUACGUGAAAUUGUUGAAAGGGAAGGGCUUGAACUCAGACUUGGUAUUUCAGUGAUCAACUAUCUCUUGUGGAUUGUGCACUCGCUGUUUACUGGGCCAACAUCGGUUUGAACGGUGAGAUAAUGACUUUGGAAUGUGGCUUGAAUUUCGAUUUGAGUGUUUAUAGCCUUUGUUGAUAUCACCAGUUUGGACCGAGGUCUGCGCAUUUAUUGCUAGGAUGUUGGCGUAAUGAUUUUAAGCCGCCC